GAUGAAGAACGCAGCUAAAUGCGAUAAGUAAUGUGAAUUGCAGAAUUCAGUGAAUCAUCGAAUCUUUGAACGCACAUUGCGCCCGCCAGUAUUCUGGCGGGCAUGCCUGUUCGAGCGUCAUUUCAACCAUCAAGCCCCCGGGCUUGUGUUGGGGACCUGCGGCUGCCCGCAGGCCCUGAAAACCAGUGGCGGGCUCGCUGUCACACCGAGCGUAGUAGCAUAUCAUCUCGCUCUGGGCGUGCUGCGGGUUCCGGCCGUUAAAGCCUUUUUUUUUUACCCAAGGUUGACCUCGGAUCAGGUAGGAAGACCCGCUGAACUUAAGCAUAUCAAUAAGCGGAGGA
This 341-nucleotide unclassified non-coding RNA is filed under the name soil metagenome. Its description in RNAcentral is "partial contains 5.8S ribosomal RNA, internal transcribed spacer 2, and large subunit ribosomal RNA". The stretch from base 1 to 120 matches the Rfam family "5.8S ribosomal RNA", at positions 35 to 154 of the family's 154-position model. The record is from RNAcentral.